GUAUGUCAGAGAGGGUAUACAGUCCAAUACGAUUGAGAAUUUAAGAGAAUUAGAUUCGCUUCUGGAAAUGCUAUGGGUCGAAAUAGUCAGCCCAAAAGGAAGCUUAACUCUGGGAGUUUGUUAUCGUCUACCAGACUAAAAGACAGAGGAUGAUUAUUAAAUGACCAAAUAAUUAAAGAUAGCAGCUAGAUGAAAUGACUGUGUCGUAACAGGUGAUUUUAACUACCCACACAUUGAUUGGGUCAAUAUGUGUUCAAGUUGGAAAAAAGAGAUUGAGUUUCUAGACACUCUUAAUGACUGUGCUAUGGAGAAGAUGGUCACAAAACCUACCAGGGGAGAGGUGAUCCUGGACUCAGUUCUAAGUAAUGCCCAAGACCUGGUGAGAUAUUUGCCCAAAAAGACCAACACAACUACUUUUAACUUUAAAAGAGGUAACUUCUCUGAGAUGAGAAAGCAUGUGAAGAGGAAACUGAAAGGAAAGGUAAAAAGGGUCAAAACCAUUAGGGAAGCUUGGAGACUAUUUAAAACUACAGUCCUAGAAGUUCAAAUAAAAUAUAUAGUGCAAGUUAGGAAAGGCAUAGAUAGGUAUAGAAAAAGGCCUGCAUGG
Molecule: long non-coding RNA, 607 nt
Organism: Heteronotia binoei (common prickly gecko)
Lineage: Eukaryota; Metazoa; Chordata; Lepidosauria; Squamata; Gekkonidae
Exons: 2
Source: RefSeq, a predicted model, not a curated record